Molecule: ribosomal RNA, 663 nt
Filed under: uncultured Actinomycetes bacterium
Lineage: Bacteria; Bacillati; Actinomycetota; Actinomycetes
Description: bacterial SSU rRNA
Rfam family: Bacterial small subunit ribosomal RNA
Source: RNAcentral
CGCGGCCUAUCAGCUUGUUGGUGAGGUAACGGCUCACCAAGGCAACGAUGGGUAGCUGGUCUGAGAGGAUGGUCAGCCACAUUGGGACUGAGACACUGCCCCAACUCCUACGGGAGGCUGCAGUCGAGAAUAUUUCGCAAUGGGGGAAACCCUGACGAUGCGACGCCGCGUGGGGGAUGAAGGCCUUCGGGUUGUAAACCUCUGUGUUACGGGAUGAAUUGAGCGUUGCUGAUAACGCAGCGUUUUUGACGUUACCGUAGUAGAAAGCCCCAGCUAACUACGUGCCAGCAGCUGCGGUAAUACGUAGGGGGCAAGCGUUGUCCGGAAUCACUGGGCGUAAAGCGCGCGCAGGCGGUGGAGUAAGUCAGACGUGAAAGGGUUCGGCUCAACCGAGCCAUUGCGUUUGAUACUGCUUUACUUGAGUCUAGAAGAGGAAAGUGGAAUGUAUGGUGUAGCGGUGGAAUGCUUAGAUAUCAUAUAGAACACCCGUGGCGAAGGCGGCUUUCUGGUCUAAGACUGACGCUCAUGCGCGAAAGUUUGGGGAGCAACCGGGAUUAGAUACCCCGCUAGUCCUUACUGUAAACGAUGGGUACUAAGUGUAGGGGGUGUUGAUUCCCUCUGUGCUGUAGCUAACGCAUUAAGUACCCCGCCUGGGGAGUACGG